This 29-nucleotide non-coding RNA is filed under the name Rattus norvegicus (Norway rat). The record is from RNAcentral. Lineage: Eukaryota; Metazoa; Chordata; Mammalia; Rodentia; Muridae.
UACAAAAUCCAGAGGCUGGUAUAGGCAUU